This is a long non-coding RNA of Perca fluviatilis (European perch), 1032 nucleotides long. RefSeq lists it as uncharacterized. Lineage: Eukaryota; Metazoa; Chordata; Actinopteri; Perciformes; Percidae. The transcript has 3 exons. The record is from RefSeq and is a predicted model, not a curated record.
CUUGGUUGCUUCCAUCUUUUCAGUCACAGUCGCAAGUGCCAUUGUCCUUUGGCCUCGGAGCAGCCUAGUACGAGUGGGCAAGCUAUGCGUCGCACCACCCGUCCCACUGCCGGUCAUCAUUCGAAUGUUCAUCGGCUUCCUCAGCCUGCGAGUAGUACGGCUGGUGGUCUGGUUGGGAGACCUCCAGACCCAACGUUAAAUCUUCCAUCGGUCAUUUUUCGGUCUUGGUCGUGACCUAAAAGGCCGCCUUUACCGUCGGGACGACGAUACAAAAGCGAAGGGUAGAUGUGACCGGAUGAGGUUUUUCCCCUCCCUCUUACCUGCACACAGGAGGGUGGAUCAGCAUACCUGCGGCUCAUUCCGAUUGAUUGGAAGAGGCGGGGACAUUAUUUAAGCCUGUGUGUGUGGACUCGUUCUGUUUGUCUUCUCCUGCUGGGUGUCUGUGGAGACGUGUCCAGGUUGGCGUGCUUUGUUUUUGCAGCUGCCCUAAGUCGUCAGUCUGCUGCGGUGUGGUAAGGGCACUUUUUCCAUCUUUUGUGCCUUUUUAUUGUUCCAUGUCGCCGUGCAUGUGGCACUAAUGUGCAUUCUUUCAUAUAGCUGACCCUGUCGUGGUUGCGGAUGUCUCGGUGUGGGUGGAUGUAUGCCUGGGCUGCUGGCGUUGGGUGUCUCGUGUGGGCCGCUGUGUGUGUGCGCGAGGUGGGUGCCUCCGCCGGGGUCUGAGGGUGGCCUGUCCUGUAAUUCGCUGGACCGGGCUGCAGCCUUAUACAUGCUGCUGUGGGGCUAUCGUGGUGCCACGACUAAUUAAAGGGCCAGUACUCCCGGCGCGUUCUUCCCCCACUGAAGCUGUUUUGGAUUCCGGUAAAAGUUUCUGGAUUCCGGCAAAACUGUUCUGAAUUCCGGUAAAACUGUUCUUGAGUCCGAUAAAAGUUUCCUGGACACUAGUACAAAAAUGGUCUGAAUACUUGUACAAAAGCGGUUUGGAUAUAUUGUAGGCUAUUAACUGUUGUAUAUAUUGCAUGUGGGUUUCUUUUU